This 225-nucleotide ribosomal RNA is filed under the name uncultured bacterium. RNAcentral describes it as "partial 16S ribosomal RNA". It matches the Rfam family "Bacterial small subunit ribosomal RNA", at positions 15 to 230 of the family's 1533-position model. The record is from RNAcentral.
GAUCAUGGCUCAGGAUGAACGCUAGCUACAGGCUUAACACAUGCAAGUCGAGGGGCAGCAUGGUCUUAGCUUGCUAAUGCCGAUGGCGACCGGCGCACGGGUGAGUAACACGUAUCCAACCCGCCGUCUACUCUUGGACAGCCUUCUGAAAGGAAGAUUAAUACAAGAUGGCAUCAUGAGUUUCACAUGUUCACAUGAUUAAAGGUAUUCCGGUAGACGAUGGGG